This 292-nucleotide long non-coding RNA is filed under the name Panax ginseng (ginseng). Its description in RNAcentral is "long non-coding RNA (PGIN_LNC005214)". The record is from RNAcentral. Lineage: Eukaryota; Viridiplantae; Streptophyta; Magnoliopsida; Apiales; Araliaceae.
CGCGCCCCUCUUCUCAACAUCUCAAUCUUCAUUUACCCAUCAACUUCUACUGUAGAUACCUUCAUCUACGGUGGCUGCUACCAGACCCAAAGCCCAUCUCAGACCCACCACUAACCCUAUAUUUACAUCGGCAACGACUUAGAUCUCCAGAUCUGACAAAAUUGAUUCUAUUAGAACCAUCUCCGACUCAUCCUCUUCGCCGAUUGAUGGCACUUGGGCCCGCCGUGACCCACCACCAACCCUAGAUGCUUGGGUUCAACGUGGAAGCCAAGAGGAAGAGCUAGCCUUCGUU